UGGCGAACGGGUGAGUAACGCGUGAGGAACCUGCCUCAAAGAGGGGGGACGAACAGUUGGAAACGACUGCUAAUACCGCAUAAGCCCACGGGUCGGCAUCGACCAGAGGGAAAAGGAAGCAAUCCGCUUUUGAGAUGGCCUCGCGUCCGAUUAGCUAGCUGGUGAGGUAAUGGCCCACCAAGGCAACGAUCGGUAGCCGGACUGAGAGGUUGAACGGCCACAUUGGGACUGAGACACGGCCCAAACUCCUACGGGAGGCAGCAUG
RNAcentral lists this ribosomal RNA (265 nucleotides) under uncultured bacterium. Its description in RNAcentral is "partial 16S ribosomal RNA". It matches the Rfam family "Bacterial small subunit ribosomal RNA", at positions 96 to 353 of the family's 1533-position model. The record is from RNAcentral.